Molecule: long non-coding RNA, 2620 nt
Filed under: Gallus gallus (chicken)
Lineage: Eukaryota; Metazoa; Chordata; Aves; Galliformes; Phasianidae
Description: lncRNA (ENSGALG00010003779.1)
Source: RNAcentral
GGAAGGGUGGGAGGGGGAUGUGGAAGGUGGGAUGAGGGAUGUGGGCUGGGAGAAACAAGCAGUUGUGCACACAGGGCUCAGCAUCCUGAAAUCCUGUAAAUGGCCCCAUUUCUCCCAGUUUAAAUAGAGAGAGAGAGAUGUGGGGAUUCUCCUAUCCUACCCAUUAGAAGUUGGUUCCAGCAGUGGGGAGAGAUGCUGAACCCAUCUCCUCCACACCUCUCACUGAAAGAUCUGCAAAUUUAAUUGUGACACUGAUAUACAUAUUGCAAAACCCUUCAAAAUCCUUCUCCUGCACGGCAGGGGGGGAAAUGCUUCCCACCCAGCUCCCCAGUGCAGAACCUCCUCCAGGCUUUAGUGGAGCAUCGAGGGUCAUCUACUCCGAAGUGAUGGUGCCGAGGCAGCUGGAGCUGAGGCACGGGGCUGCCGUGAAGGUCAGGAGCUUUGGGGAAUGACGUUGGGAAGCGGUUUGUAGAGCCGGGAUGCCCUCAGCUCCAAAGAGAGGGGCGGCUCCAAACCAACCUCCAGAUGGGGUUUCCUCAAGGGGAGGUGGUCGGAAUGAAGUGAUGUGAACAGGCGAUGCUUUGGGUGUUUCAGGACGACGUGGCCUAUUUAAUCGUGGCAGAGGGAAGCUACUACGUCAUCCACCUGACGCGGGCAAAGUAAGGCUCUGCUCUGGUUCCUCCUCUGCCACCUCCAAGUGGGUCCCCCAUGGGGUCAGUCCGAAUUUCUGCUCUGCUUUACAGAAAUCUGGUGGCCAAGGACCUCCCGGUUUACACAUAUGGUGCCAGGGGAGAGCUGAUUACAGAGUUCCCCUACAUGCAGGUGCAGGAAGACUGAGGAACCCCAAAAAUAUCCUCCCCCCAGCUCACUGUUAUCCACACGGUGAUUUUCACAUUUCUCUUUAUGGAUGCAUUUCUGAGCUGGCUUGUACCUUGCAGGACGACUGCUUCUACGAGGGCUUUGUGGAAGGGUCGCCAGGCUCCAUCGUGGCCCUCAGCACCUGCUAUGGGAUCAGGUAGGGCCACGCAAUGAGCAAUGCAUUGUGGAUUACAGUAUGGGGUCAGGUGUGGCCACGCAAUGAGCAAUGCAUUGUGGAUUUCAGUACGGGGUCAGGUGUGGCCGUGCAUUAAGAAAUGCAUCGUGGAUUUUUAGGAUGUAAAUGCAUCUGCAGAAAGAUCCUGCUUGGCCACACCGCAGUGCUGGUGCGGAAAUAAGCAGCCUAAAGAUGGAUCCUCCCUAAGAGAUGUGCAGCACGGAGCUUCUAUUGCCUUCUCCCUAUCAUUUAAUAUUUAGGAUUUGGACUUGAUGGUCCUUAUGGGCCCCUUCCAAGUCAGGAUAUUCUAUGAUUCUGUGAUUCUCUGAGCAAUGUAUAGCAUUCAUCGGCAGUUUCUUAACUCUUCCCCAAAGCUUUGAUUGCUCUUUCAGGGAUGUCUCAUAUACCCCAAACACCGGGCACGAUGCUCUUUGUAUCUUCUCGCUGGAUCCCCUCCUACAGGUUCAUAGAACCAUGGAAUCACAGAAUCGUUCAGGCUGGAGAAUCAUCGGGCUGACCUCCAAGAUCCCCAACCCCAACCCAUCAGCGCCAACGACCCCAUCCCUCAAUGCCACAUCCCCACAGUUAUGAACACCCCCAGGGAUGGUGACCCUCCCACUCUUUGGAGUGGGAGGCUGUGCCACUGCAUCACCACUCUUUGGAGAAGAAAUUAUCCCUAAUACCCAACCUGACCCCCCCCCGGCACAACGCGAGGCCAUCACCCCUCACCCUAUUACUGUUACCUGGGAGCAGAGGCCGACCUCCCCCUCACUACAACCUCCUUUCAGUGCUCCAAAAGGCGUUUUUCUCACUCCAUCCUCCCCAAACAUAUAGGCUAUGGACUGUUGGGGUUUCUGGCUGAUGGCCCAAGCCCUCGGGACGGCCCACCCCACCCCACCAGCAUUUGGCUUCUUCCCUUUACUACUACUCACCUCUCUCUGCCUGAACACCCAGGGGAAUUCUGCAGAUCGGGGACCUGCGGUACGAGGUGGAGCCGGUGCCGAACUCCACCACGUUUCAGCACCUCAUCUAUCGGACAGCGCCGGCAGAGGGCUCCGCCCCGCCGUGCCAACUGCCCAUGGAACACCCAACCAAGGAUGGAGACCACUCCAAUGGGAGCAGGAAAAUCCUCAUCAUAGAGGAGGUGCCCGGUCUCGAGAGCCUGCCCGUGUCCACCAGAUACCUGGAAUUAGCUUUGAUCACCAACAAGGAGCUGUUCAAAGCCAACAGGCACAACGAGACCCUGAUGCUGCACCUCUUCAUUUCCAUCAGCAACAUCCUGAACACGGUGAGUUCCCGUGGGAUAACGCCAGCCGCGGUCGGUGCCAAACCAGGAGCCUGGGGAGGGGACGGCUGCUGUGUCUGCAAACACUGCCAGGCAGCAAUGAGCUCCUGAAUGAUGUAAAACCCAAUUCCACGGCUGAAAAAUUGCUUCAAGUGUGAGCGAAGCCAAUUGAGAUAUAAUUCUGAAAUUAUCCCCUUGAAGCUGCUUGAUGGAAUACGCAUUAUCAGCGCUAAAUGCUUCCUGGUAGCUCAUUACAUUCUCCCUCUCUCUUCAUUAUCUUGCUUUGAACCUUUGGAAAAGAG